AUACACCCGGUCAAAUUCCCAUAUUUGACCGGUAAUAUCUCAGGAACCAAGCCGACUUUGGGAUCCAUGCCCUGGGGUCAUGGGGGUCACAAGGGUCCCUACCCAUGCCCAUAGUAUGGGGCUCCAAAUCGGCUUAGUUCCCGAGAUACACCCGGUCAAAUCUCAUCCAGGGGGAAGCCUAUAGGGCACCCGUCAAAUAGGUUACAGGAUGGAUGCUGUUUCUGACUUAGACAUUUUCAGCGGGUCAGAUCCUGUAAAGAUUUGGGGAUUUCACCAUAUGUGGUGAAGUCCAGUCAGUAACUUAUUAAGCUACAGGCUGGAUGCUGAUUUUGACCGGGUGUAUCUCGAGAACCAAGCCGACUUUCGGCUCCAUACUCUGGGGUCAUGGGGGGCACAAGGGUCCCUACCCAUGCCCGGAGAUUGGAGCUCCACGUCGGCGUGGUUUCCGAGAUACACCCGGUCAAUUUCCCAUAUUUGACCGGGCAUAUCUCAGGAACCAAGCCGACUUUGGGAUCCAUACUCUGGGGUCAUGGGGGGCACAAGGGUCCCUACCCAUUCCCAGAGUAUGGAGCUCAAAGUCGGCGUAGUUUCCGAGAUACACCCGGUCAAUUCUGAACCGGAAGUGACUGUAUCUCGGAAAGGGAAGGUUCCAGGAGCUGGGGGCGGUGGGGUCAGAAGGGGCCCUAUGGGCCCCCCUCAUGCCCGUAGUUUGGUGCUCCAACUCGGCUUAUCUCCCAAGAUACACCCGGUUAUACAUAAGGGACUUUUGGACAAAACGGACGAUAUCUCGGAAAUGACGAGGCCCAGCGGAUCGUCCUUUUGGUCGGUGAGGGUCUCCUAGGGACCCUCUCAGACCCCAGAGUCCCGAGGCUCUGGGACCCUUCCUUACGAAGUGCACCCUUUCCUG
Long non-coding RNA from Xyrauchen texanus (razorback sucker), 907 nucleotides. RefSeq lists it as uncharacterized. Lineage: Eukaryota; Metazoa; Chordata; Actinopteri; Cypriniformes; Catostomidae. The record is from RefSeq and is a predicted model, not a curated record. The transcript is spliced from 3 exons.